AGAACUGGACAAAACACUUGGGAAAGGAAAAAUAUCCUUAUUGUGUCAUUUGCUCCACUUGUGCAGCCAAGUAAGAAUGAUAAUGGUAAACCAGAUUCUGUGGGACUCCCUCCCUGUGCUGUCAGGAAUCCACAGGGCUUGGCUUGUAUUUACAUUCGACGCACACUUAGAAAUUUCAUAAAUGAUGAGAUGCAGGCCAAGGGGAUUCCGCAAAGGGCUCCACCCAAAAGGAAAAAAAAAAAGAGAGUUAAACAGAGAACUAACACAUACAUAUUUGUGGGUAAUCAGCUUAUUCCUCAGCCUCUGGACAGAGAGGAGGAUGAAAAAAUGGAAGAUAACAAAGAAGAGGAAGAAAAAGAUCACAGUGAAGCAAUGAAGCCAGAGGAGCCACCUCAAAAUUUACUGAGAAAAAAAUCACAACGCUGCCCCUUCCUGAAUCUUUAAAAGCUUACUUGACAUAUUUUAGAGACAA
RNAcentral lists this long non-coding RNA (472 nucleotides) under Homo sapiens (human). RNAcentral's name for it is "non-protein coding lnc-TRA2A-7:1". Lineage: Eukaryota; Metazoa; Chordata; Mammalia; Primates; Hominidae. The record is from RNAcentral.